GACGAACAGUGCGAGCGUUAUUCGGAUUUAUUGGGUGUAAAGGGUACGUAGGUUGUCAUUUAAACAAAGUGCGAAAAUACUGGGGUUAUAACCUUAGAAGUUGUUCUUUACGAUUAUAUGGCUCUGAGUUAAAGAGAGGUUAGAAGAAAUUCUAGUGGAGAGUUAAAAUCUUUCGAUAUUAGAAUGAAUACCAAUGGCGAAGGCAUCUUUCUGGCUUUAACUGACGCUGGAGGUACGGAAGCGUGGGGAGCAAACAGG
This 258-nucleotide ribosomal RNA is filed under the name uncultured bacterium. RNAcentral describes it as "partial 16S ribosomal RNA". It matches the Rfam family "Bacterial small subunit ribosomal RNA", at positions 524 to 776 of the family's 1533-position model. The record is from RNAcentral.